Molecule: ribosomal RNA, 460 nt
Filed under: uncultured bacterium
Lineage: Bacteria
Description: partial 16S ribosomal RNA
Rfam family: Bacterial small subunit ribosomal RNA
Source: RNAcentral
CCUACGUGAGGCAGCAUUUAUUAAUCUUUCUCCCUUUUCUUCCUCCUGCCCCCGCCCCGUCGCGUGCCGGAUGACGGCCCUACGGGUUGUAAACUGCUUUUAUACGGGAAUAACGCGCCUUACGUGUAGGGCUUUGCAUGUACCGUAUGAAUAAGGACCGGCUAAUUCCGUGCCAGCAGCCGCGGUAAUACGGAGGGUCCGGGCGUUAUCCGGAUUUAUUGGGUUUAAAGGGAGCGUAGGCCGCAUGUCAAGCGUGCUGUGAAAUGUCCGGGCUCAACCCGGGCCUUGCAGCGCGAACUGGCGUGCUUGAGUCCGCGGAAAGCAGGCGGAAUUCGUCGUGUAGCGGUGAAAUGCUUAGAUAUGACGAAGAACCCCGAUUGCGAAGGCAGCUUGCUGCAGCGGAACUGACGCUGAUGCUCGAAAGCGCGGGUAUCGAACAGGAUUAGAUACCCUAGUAGUC